GCCGCAGCGGCUGCCGCUGUAGUGCAUUGUAGUUGCAUUGCAUGUGUCUGACCAGGGUGCAAUGCCCCUGCAGUGCAAUACAGAGCCAGCCCCCGGC
Ornithorhynchus anatinus (platypus) is the source of this 97-nucleotide non-coding RNA. RefSeq annotates it as microRNA mir-33a. The transcript has a single exon. NCBI's taxonomy places the organism in Eukaryota, Metazoa, Chordata, Mammalia, Monotremata, Ornithorhynchidae. The record is from RefSeq and is marked provisional.